Molecule: ribosomal RNA, 446 nt
Filed under: uncultured bacterium
Lineage: Bacteria
Description: bacterial SSU rRNA
Rfam family: Bacterial small subunit ribosomal RNA
Source: RNAcentral
CCAGACUCCUACGGGAGGCAGCAGUGGGGAAUAUUGCACAAUGGGGGAAACCCUGAUGCAGCAACGCCGCGUGAGUGAGGAAGUAUUUCGGUAUGUAAAGCUCUAUCAGCAGGGAAUAGAAAAGAAGGUACCUGAAAAAGAAGCCCCGGCUAACUACGUGCCAGCAGCCGCGGUAAUACGUAGGGGGCAAGCGUUGUCCGGAUUUACUGGGUGUAAAGGGCGUGCAGCCGGGAGUGCAAGUCAGAUGUGAAAUCCCGCGGCUCAACCGCGGAACUGCAUUUGAAACUGUGCUUCUUGAGUGCUGGAGAGGCAGACGGAAUUCCUAGUGUAGCGGUGAAAUGCGUAGAUAUACGGAGGAACACCAGUGGCGAAGGCGGAUUGCUGGACAGUAACUGACGCUGAGGCGCGAAAGCGUGGGGAGCAAACAGGAUUAGAUACCCGAGUAU